Molecule: small nucleolar RNA, 107 nt
Organism: Macadamia integrifolia
Lineage: Eukaryota; Viridiplantae; Streptophyta; Magnoliopsida; Proteales; Proteaceae
Source: RefSeq, a predicted model, not a curated record
AGGCCAUAGGGAGGGCAUUCUUGGAGUAGAUCCUUGAAUCUCUCCAUAUAUUUAGAAAAUGACUCACUAAGCUUUUGCCUAAACUGAAGAAGAUCACUUCUAAGCUU